Molecule: transfer RNA, 87 nt
Filed under: Candidatus Ancillula kalotermitis
Lineage: Bacteria; Bacillati; Actinomycetota; Actinomycetes; Bifidobacteriales; Bifidobacteriaceae
Description: tRNA-Ser
Rfam family: tRNA
About the family: Transfer RNA (tRNA) molecules are approximately 80 nucleotides in length. Their secondary structure includes four short double-helical elements and three loops (D, anti-codon, and T loops).
Source: RNAcentral
GGACACGUGGCUGAGCGGUCGAAAGCGGCACCCUGCUAAGGUGUUAUAUGGGUAACUGUAUCGGAGGUUCAAAUCCUCUCGUGUCCG